Molecule: ribosomal RNA, 253 nt
Filed under: uncultured bacterium
Lineage: Bacteria
Description: partial 16S ribosomal RNA
Rfam family: Bacterial small subunit ribosomal RNA
Source: RNAcentral
UACGGAGGGUGCAAGCGUUAAUCGGAAUUACUGGGCGUAAAGCGUGCGUAGGCGGCUCGUUAAGUCAGAUGUGAAAGCCCUGGGCUCAACCUGGGAACUGCAUUUGAAACUGGCGAGCUAGAGUUUGAGAGAGGUAAGUGGAAUUUCAGGUGUAGCGGUGAAAUGCGUAGAGAUCUGAAGGAACACCAGUGGCGAAGGCGACUUACUGGCUUAAAACUGACGCUCAGGUACGAAAGCGUGGGUAGCAAACAGG